UACAGAGGUCUCAAGCGUUGUUCGGAUUCAUUGGGUUUAAAGGGAGCGUAGGUGGUCUUAUAAGUCAGUGGUGAAAUCUCUGGGCUUAACCCAGAAAUUGCCAUUGAUACUGUAGGACUUGAGUAUAGUUGCCGUUGGCGGAAUAUGACAUGUAGUGGUGAAAUACAUAGAGAUGUCAUAGAACACCGAUUGCGAAGGCAGCUAACGAAACUAUAACUGACACUGAGGCUCGAAAGUGUGGGGAUCAAACAGG
This 253-nucleotide ribosomal RNA is filed under the name uncultured bacterium. Its description in RNAcentral is "partial 16S ribosomal RNA". It matches the Rfam family "Bacterial small subunit ribosomal RNA", at positions 524 to 776 of the family's 1533-position model. The record is from RNAcentral.